This 499-nucleotide ribosomal RNA is filed under the name uncultured bacterium. RNAcentral describes it as "partial 16S ribosomal RNA". It matches the Rfam family "Bacterial small subunit ribosomal RNA", at positions 28 to 507 of the family's 1533-position model. The record is from RNAcentral.
GACGAACGCUGGCGGCGUGCCUAAUACAUGCAAGUCGAGCGGACUGAAUGGGAGCUUGCUCUUGUUCGGUCAGCGGCGGACGGGUAAGUAACACGUGGGCAACCUGCCCGCAAGACCGGGAUAACUCCGGGAAACCGGAGCUAAUACCGGAUAACACCGAAGACCGCAUGGUCUUUGGUUGAAAGGCGGCGCAAGCUGCCACUUGCGGAUGGGCCCGCGGCGCAUUAGCUAGUUGGUGAGGUAACGGCUCACCAAGGCGACGAUGCGUAGCCGGCCUGAGAGGGUGACCGGCCAAACUGGGACUGAGACACGGCCCAGACUCCUACGGGAGGCAGCAGUAGGGAAUCUUCCGCAAUGGGCGAAAGCCUGACGGAGCGACGCCGCGUGAGCGAAGAAGGCCUUCGGGUCGUAAAGCUCUGUUGUGAGGGACGAAGGAGCGCCGUUUGAAGAAGGCGGCGCGGUGACGGUACCUCACGAGGAAGCCCCGGCUAACUACGUG